CCUACGGGAGGCAGCAGUGAGGAAUAUUGGUCAAUGGGCGCGAGCCUGAACCAGCCAAGUAGCGUGAAGGAUGACUGCCCUACGGGUUGUAAACUUCUUUUAUAAAGGAAUAAAGUGAGGCACGUGUGCCUUUUUGUAUGUACUUUAUGAAUAAGGAUCGGCUAACUCCGUGCCAGCAGCCGCGGUAAUACGGAGGAUCCGAGCGUUAUCCGGAUUUAUUGGGUUUAAAGGGAGCGUAGAUGGGUUGUUAAGUCAGUUGUGAAAGUUUGCGGCUCAACCGUAAAGUUGCAAUUGAUACUGGCAGUCUAGAGGACAGGUGGGGUAGGCGGAAUUCGUAGUGUAGCGGUGAAAUGCAUAGAUAUCACGAAGAACUCCGAGUGCGAAGGCAGCUUACUAGACUGCCACUGACAUUGAUGCUCGAAAGUGUGGGGAGCAAACAGGAUUAGAUACCCUGGUAGUC
RNAcentral lists this ribosomal RNA (460 nucleotides) under uncultured bacterium. RNAcentral's name for it is "partial 16S ribosomal RNA". It matches the Rfam family "Bacterial small subunit ribosomal RNA", at positions 338 to 795 of the family's 1533-position model. The record is from RNAcentral.